Molecule: ribosomal RNA, 99 nt
Filed under: uncultured bacterium
Lineage: Bacteria
Description: partial 16S ribosomal RNA
Rfam family: Bacterial small subunit ribosomal RNA
Source: RNAcentral
UACACACCGCCCGUCACACCAUGGGAGUCGGUCUCACCAGAAGCCGGUAGUCUAACCGCAAGGAAGACACCGUCCACGGUGUGGUCGAUGACUGGGGUG